RNAcentral lists this ribosomal RNA (253 nucleotides) under uncultured bacterium. RNAcentral describes it as "partial 16S ribosomal RNA". It matches the Rfam family "Bacterial small subunit ribosomal RNA", at positions 524 to 776 of the family's 1533-position model. The record is from RNAcentral.
UACAGAGGUCUCAAGCGUUGUCCGGAUUUAUUGGGCGUAAAGAGCGUGUAGGCGGCCAGACAGGUCAGCUGUGAAAACUCGAGGCUCAACCUCGAGACGUCGGUUGAAACCGUCUGGCUAGAGUCCGGAAGAGGAGAGUGGAAUUCCCGGUGUAGCGGUGAAAUGCGCAGAUAUCGGGAAGAACACCCGUGGCGAAGGCGGCUCUCUGGGACGGUACUGACGCUGAGACGCGAAAGCGUGGGGAGCAAACGGG